UUAAUUGAAGAGUUUGAUCAUGGCUCAGAUUGAACGCUGGCGGCAGGCCUAACACAUGCAAGUCGAGCGGCAGCACAGAGGAACUUGUUCCUUGGGUGGCGAGCGGCGGACGGGUGAGUAAUGCCUGGGAAAUUGCCCGGUAGAGGGGGGAUAACCAUUGGAAACGAUGGCUAAUACCGCAUAACCUCGCAAGAGCAAAGCAGGGGACCUUCGGGCCUUGCGCUACCGGAUAUGCCCAGGUGGGAUUAGCUAGUUGGUGAGGUAAGGGCUCACCAAGGCGACGAUCCCU
Molecule: ribosomal RNA, 289 nt
Filed under: Vibrio cholerae
Lineage: Bacteria; Pseudomonadati; Pseudomonadota; Gammaproteobacteria; Vibrionales; Vibrionaceae
Description: partial 16S ribosomal RNA
Rfam family: Bacterial small subunit ribosomal RNA
Source: RNAcentral